UUAAUGGAUCGAAAAUAAGGGCUUCGAAACCGGCGGUUGGGUUUAAGUGGAUCGUAUAUUUACAAUCUUGGUUAACGUGUGAUGUGAUUUGUUCUAAUAAAAUAAUGAAUAUAUUGAAAGCCAUUCGUUUUGAUUGUGAUUCCAUUGCGAAUAAUUUUUUCAGGGACGAAAAAAAUAAGUGUGGGGAUUUGAUCGGUGCAUUUUAGAUACACUCUAUUGAAUAUUAAUUAUGAUGAAACUGCAUUGAUAUUAGUAUAAAAUAGGAUCCACUAAUUCGUCUUCGUAUCAGGUGGGUUAUAAAGAAAAUGAGCUCAAAAUGAUGGAAUUUAUAUGCAUUAAAAGAGUAAACGAUUAAACAAUAAUUAAUAUUAAUUGAACUCAAAUUGCUCAUUUUUGUUUUGAUCCAUAUUUUCUUUCUUGAUAUUGCAGUUUGUUAUUUGAAGUGGCAUGUUACAACCAUCGUUCCCUUCAUGUUGGAAUAAAAGAAAUCAAGUGCAUGAAAAGAAAGAACUAAUGGAUUUGGGUCUUGAAUAUUGUCACGUGGCCUAAGAGUGAAUUAAAUUGGUUAAUGGGCAAAUUAGUUGUGGUGGGCUUUUGAUUUAGUUGUGUUGGGCUGCCAAGUAUAACAGCCGACCUAUUAUAAAUGACAAGGGGAUAUGAAGGAGUUUGGGGCGAAACAUUGGGGGAUUGGCAGUCGCAGCCGUCAAGAUCGAACUCAGGGACGAAUUAGAUUAUUCUCUCAUUCAUUCAAGCUAUUCAAUGGAAUCUAAGCAAUUCAAGAUGACAAUUGAAGUGGCAAAGAUCAGCAUGCGCGGCUAAGCCUCUCGUGACUUCUGCCCGGAUGAACCUUGACCACUUGUGUUGGAUUAUUGGUAAACGUUUCUUGUGUUUGAAUUACUUGUCAUUUAUUAAGCGUAUUGGCAACUUUCUUGCGUUGUUAGCGGGUUAG
This 949-nucleotide long non-coding RNA is filed under the name Helianthus annuus (common sunflower). RNAcentral's name for it is "hypothetical non coding rna". Lineage: Eukaryota; Viridiplantae; Streptophyta; Magnoliopsida; Asterales; Asteraceae. The record is from RNAcentral.